GACGAACGCUGGCGGCGUGCCUAAUACAUGCAAGUAGAACGCUGAAGGAGAGGGAGCUUGCUCUUCUUGGAUGAGUUGCGAACGGGUGAGUAACGCGUAGGUAACCUGCCUUGUAGCGGGGGAUAACUAUUGGAAACGAUAGCUAAUACCGCAUAACAAUGGAUGACACAUGUCAUUUAUUUGAAAGGGGCAAUUGCUCCACUACAAGAUGGACCUGCGUUGAUUAGCUAGUAGGUGAGGUAAUGGCUCACCUAGGCGACGAUACAUAGCCGACCUGAGAGGGUGAUCGGCCACACUGGGACUGAGACACGGCCCAG
Molecule: ribosomal RNA, 317 nt
Filed under: uncultured bacterium
Lineage: Bacteria
Description: bacterial SSU rRNA
Rfam family: Bacterial small subunit ribosomal RNA
Source: RNAcentral